UACGAAGGGGGCUAGCGUUGUUCGGACUCACUGGGCGUAAAGCGCACGUAGGCGGCGCGUUAAGUCAGGGGUGAAAUCCUGGAGCUCAACUCCAGAACUGCCUUUGAUACUGGCGUGCUUGAGUGUGGGAGAGGUUGGUGGAACUCCGAGUGUAGAGGUGAAAUUCGUAGAUAUUCGGAAGAACACCAGUGGCGAAGGCGGCCAACUGGCCCAUUACUGACGCUGAAGUGCGAAAGCGUGGGGAGCAAACAGG
RNAcentral lists this ribosomal RNA (253 nucleotides) under uncultured bacterium. Its description in RNAcentral is "partial 16S ribosomal RNA". It matches the Rfam family "Bacterial small subunit ribosomal RNA", at positions 524 to 776 of the family's 1533-position model. The record is from RNAcentral.